GACGAACGCUGGCGGCGUGCUUAACACAUGCAAGUCGAACGGUAAGGCCCUUCGGGGUACACGAGUGGCGAACGGGUGAGUAACACGUGGGUGAUCUGCCCUGCACUUCGGGAUAAGCCUGGGAAACUGGGUCUAAUACCGGAUAGGACUCCUGGCUUCAUGGUUGGGGGUGGAAAGCUUUUGCGGUGUGGGAUGGGCCCGCGGCCUAUCAGCUUGUUGGUGGGGUAAUGGCCUACCAAGGCGACGACGGGUAGCCGGCCUGAGAGGGUGACCGGUAACACUGGGACUGAGAUACGGCCCAGACUCCUACGGGAGGCAGCAGUGGGGAAUAUUGCACAAUGGGCGCAAGCCUGAUGCAGCGACGCCGCGUGAGGGAUGACGGCCUUCGGGUUGUAAACCUCUUUCAGCUAUGACGAAGCGCAAGUGACGGUACCUACAGAAGAAGGACCGGCCAACUACGUGCCAGCCGCCGCCGUAA
RNAcentral lists this ribosomal RNA (478 nucleotides) under uncultured bacterium. RNAcentral's name for it is "partial 16S ribosomal RNA". It matches the Rfam family "Bacterial small subunit ribosomal RNA", at positions 28 to 523 of the family's 1533-position model. The record is from RNAcentral.